RNAcentral lists this ribosomal RNA (305 nucleotides) under uncultured bacterium. RNAcentral describes it as "bacterial SSU rRNA". It matches the Rfam family "Bacterial small subunit ribosomal RNA", at positions 509 to 813 of the family's 1533-position model. The record is from RNAcentral.
CAGCAGCCGCGGUAAUACGUAGGAGGCGAGCGUUAUCCGGAUUUAUUGGGCGUAAAGAGAGCGUAGGCGGUUUGUCAAGUCGGAUGUGAAAUCUCCCGGCUCAACUGGGAGGAGUCAUUCGAUACUGAUGGGCUAGAGUGCAGCAGGGGAAAACGGAAUUCCCGGUGUAGUGGUGAUAUGCGUAGAUACCGGGAGGAACACCAGAGGCGAAGGCGGUUUUCUAGGCUGUUUCUGACGCUGAGGCUCAAAAGCGUGGGGAGCGAACAGGAUUAGAUACCCUGGUAGUCCACGCCGUAAACGAGGAC